AAUCAACGCUGGCGGCGUGCCUAACACAUGCAAGUCGCACGAGAAAGGGCAGCAAUGCCUGAGUACAGUGGCGCACGGGUGAGUAACACGUGAAUGAUCUACCUCCGAGUGGGGAAUAACUGAGAGAAAUCUUAGCUAAUACCGCAUAACACUUACGAGUCAAAGCAGCAAUGCGCUUGGAGAGGAGUUCGCGGCAGAUUAGAGUUGGCGGGGUAAUGGCCCACCAAGACGAUGAUCUGUAUCCGGCCUGAGAGGGCGCACGGACACACUGGAACUGAAACACGGUCCAGACUCCUACGGGAGGCAGCAGUGGGAAUUUUGCGCAAUGGGGGAAACCCUGAGCAGCAACGCCGCGUGGAGGAUGAAAUCCCUUGGGAUGUAAACUCCUUUCGAUCGGGAAGAUAAUGACGGUACCGAGAGAAGAA
This 425-nucleotide ribosomal RNA is filed under the name uncultured bacterium. Its description in RNAcentral is "bacterial SSU rRNA". It matches the Rfam family "Bacterial small subunit ribosomal RNA", at positions 32 to 489 of the family's 1533-position model. The record is from RNAcentral.